RNAcentral lists this ribosomal RNA (450 nucleotides) under uncultured bacterium. RNAcentral's name for it is "bacterial SSU rRNA". It matches the Rfam family "Bacterial small subunit ribosomal RNA", at positions 354 to 796 of the family's 1533-position model. The record is from RNAcentral.
GUGGGGAAUUUUGGACAAUGGGGGAAACCCUGAUCCAGCCAUUCCGCGUGAGUGAAGAAGGCCUUCGGGUUGUAAAGCUCUUUCGGCAGGGAAGAAACGGCCCUGGAUAAUACCUGGGGUUAAUGACGGUACCUGAAGAAGAAGCACCGGCUAACUACGUGCCAGCAGCCGCGGUAAUACGUAGGGUGCGAGCGUUAAUCGGAAUUACUGGGCGUAAAGCGUGCGCAGGCGGUUUUGUAAGACAGGUGUGAAAUCCCCGGGCUUAACCUGGGAACUGCGCUUGUGACUGCAAGACUCGAGUACGGCAGAGGGGGGUGGAAUUCCACGUGUAGCAGUGAAAUGCGUAGAGAUGUGGAGGAACACCGAUGGCGAAGGCAGCCCCCUGGGUCGAUACUGACGCUCAUGCACGAAAGCGUGGGGAGCAAACAGGAUUAGAUACCCGGGUAGUCC